Molecule: long non-coding RNA, 2120 nt
Organism: Phocoena sinus (vaquita)
Lineage: Eukaryota; Metazoa; Chordata; Mammalia; Artiodactyla; Phocoenidae
Source: Ensembl
AAAUGUAUGCUUUAUGAUAUUGGAUUUCAGGCUUUGCCUACAGAUCCCAGUAUAGCCACGUUGUGAACUGAUCUGGAUCACAUGUGAGCAUUUGCAGCCUAUGCUCUCUGCACCAUUUAUACCCAUUCUUUCCUGGGCUCCACCCUGCUUCCUACUUGGCCUUCUGGUGAUCUGAGGGAAGAGGUGUCAUAAUAUGCUAGCUGAAUUCGAGAAGAGAGAGGCCAAGAGCAGGAUUCCCAAAAGAGGGAGCCAAAGAGAAAAGUUCUCCUAGCUCUAUUUAGAGCACCUUUCUUCUUCCCACCUGUGAUAAUGGAGGCCUCCUUGUGCCAUUGGAGUUCAUUUAACCCUUAACUUGUAUUAUCACUUCUUCAAGGUGAAAUUAUAAGGGAGCUUUUGAAAUUUCUGAGAUCAGCUGGUUCUUAAGCUUUGAGAACCUGAUGAAAACUGUUAGCCAUCUCUCCAGAAAGAUACAUUUACAUAUUUCACACACACACUGAAAUCCAUUAAGGGGUCCCAGGUUAAGAAUCCUGGUUUAAAGGUUAAAGCAGUGCUUCUCAACCUUUUUUCAUAUCAUGACAUCCAUAGAAAUGAUAUUGUUCAGCACACUGGGAUAAAUUAGAGGGGAUUUGGAGGCAACAAUAUGGGGCUUGGUGAAAAAAGUUAUUUUCUUUUUAUAAUUAUAAUGAGAAAAAUAACAAACAUAUUUAAGGGUGAUAUUAAAUAUUGAAUUUGUAUAAGCUUCCAAAUAAAGUCUCUCAAAAAUUUAAUGAAAAACCCGAGAUUGCCUCUAUAAACAUGACAUUUUCUAUGUAGGGUUUUAUGACCGAAAUGACUGCAUGUAAUUUCUGAACAAGACAGUUUAACAGUGAUCAAUUAGUAGUCAUUAUUGAUGAGAAUUUAGUUCAUACAAGUAGGUGAUAAAUUUAAAAUAAUUUUCACAACUAUUCAGAAUUUGCAAGUAUAAAUUAUGUGUGACUCCAGUAGCUCUUACUUUUUUCCCACUAGAAAAUGUAAUGUGGUAAUAUCUUAUGAUAGCAUGACUGGAUUUAGAAUCCACUCAAACUUUUUCAUAUUAAGUAUAUUUUACAAAAUAAUGACAAAACUCCCAUUUGCAGGGUAGGACUGUGUUAUGAGAGCAAUAAUUCUGCAGCUAACUUGGAUGUAACUAAAAGGGCACAUCAGCCAUAAACAAAGGGAAGAAUUCAAUAUAUAUGAAGAGAGAUUAAGAGCUGAGUCCAUGAGGAGUAUCUGGCAGACUUCCCUGCCUUUCCUGGCCACACCUUAGGCUCUGAGUCCUGCUCCUUGAGUGCCUGGAGCAUGCACUCCUCCAGCAGCUCCAAGGUUCAGUGUUUAUGAUGAGCAGCAAUACACACCGCAACUGGCCUCUGAAAGUGAUGUCUUAGAGAUAGAACAUUCCUUUGCUUUCUUCUUUAUUAGAGGAUACUUGCUUUAAUAAAGCAAGUCCUCCAUUGUGUUUGCCUCCUGUGGAACCAUGGGGCACACUGGGACGGAUCAUCAGACUCUGAUUCUUUGGGUUACUCUUUGAGAAUCCUUAAGUCAAACUGCUUCUGGCCAGGGGUGAAUUAUGUAGAGGCACCAACCACCAUACUCCUUUCAGGCCACUCCUAGGGCUGAAUAGAUAACUAUCUUGCAGUACGUCUGUAACUCAUUGAUCACAGGCUAAAUGAAGUAUGUCAUUUAAAAGACUGUAUAGCUAAGCUUGUUAAAAUGUGGGGGGGAAAUCAUUCUUGACUGUAUAGCUAAGCUUGUUAAAAUGUGGGGGGAGGAAAUCUUUAUAAUCCAACCCCUUACAUUUGAAAUGACUAGUUACAAAUUAUAAAACAAGUAGAAAUAUAUAGAGAUAGAAUAUAAAAUAGCUAAGAGUGAGUGGAGUAUGAUUGAGUCAUGUAUUGCCUCUACCUGGUUGUAAUUCUUCUUAAAUUUUAAUAAUCUUAUACUAACUUUAUUGAUAGUGUCCAGAUAGGAGAUAAAAUUCACACCAGUUAUUUGAACAGAUAAUUUAACAAGAAUUGUUAACUAGGUAUGAAGUUAAGUAAGUGACUGAAAAACUGAAAAGAGAAAUCUAAGGUGUGACAGAGGUAGCAACUGUUAUUACCUUU